ACAGGUGCUGCAUGGCUGUCGUCAGCUCGUGUCGUGAGAUGUUGGGUUAAGUCCCGCAACGAGCGCAACCCUUAUCCCUAGUUGCCAUCAGGUAAAGCUGGGAACUCUGGGGAGACUGCCGGUGAUAAACCGGAGGAAGGCGGGGAUGACGUCAAGUCCUCAUGGCCCUUACAUCCCGGGCUACACACGUGCUACAAUGGCAGGUACAGAGGGCUGCGAAGCCGCGAGGUGGAGCGAAUCCCAGAAAACCUGUCUCAGUCCGGAUUGAAGUCUGCAACUCGACUUCAUGAAGGCGGAAUCGCUAGUAACCGCGAAUCAGCAGGUCGCGGUGAAUACGUUCCCGGGCCUU
RNAcentral lists this ribosomal RNA (349 nucleotides) under uncultured Latescibacterota bacterium. RNAcentral's name for it is "bacterial SSU rRNA". It matches the Rfam family "Bacterial small subunit ribosomal RNA", at positions 1034 to 1382 of the family's 1533-position model. Lineage: Bacteria; Pseudomonadati; Candidatus Latescibacterota. The record is from RNAcentral.